Molecule: ribosomal RNA, 253 nt
Filed under: uncultured bacterium
Lineage: Bacteria
Description: partial 16S ribosomal RNA
Rfam family: Bacterial small subunit ribosomal RNA
Source: RNAcentral
UACGUAGGGCGCAAGCGUUGUCCGGAAUUAUUGGGCGUAAAGAGCUCGUAGGCGGCCUGUUACGUCUGCUGUGAAAUCCCGGGGCUUAACCCCGGGCGUGCAGUGGAUACGGGCAGGCUGGAGGCAGGCAGGGGAGAACGGAAUUCCCGGUGUAGCGGUGAAAUGCGCAGAUAUCGGGAGGAACACCGGUGGCGAAGGCGGGUCUCUGGGCCAUUACUGACGCUGAGGAGCGAAAGCGUGGGGAGCGAACAGG